UGCCAGCCUCCGCGGUACUACUGAUUAUCCAAGCGUUAUCCGGAAUCAUUGGGUUUAAAGGGUCCGCAGGCUGUUGUUUAAGUCAGAGGUGAAAGUUUGCAGCUCAACUGUAAAAUUGCCUUUGAUACUGGAUGACUUGAGUUAUAAUGAAGUGGUUAGAAUAUGUAGUGUAGCGGUGAAAUGCAUAGAUAUUACAUAGAAUACCGAUUGCGAAGGCAGAUCACUAAUUAUAUACUGACGCUGAGGGACGAAAGCGUGGGGAGCGAACAGGAUUAGAUA
Molecule: ribosomal RNA, 279 nt
Filed under: uncultured bacterium
Lineage: Bacteria
Description: partial 16S ribosomal RNA
Rfam family: Bacterial small subunit ribosomal RNA
Source: RNAcentral